GGGCUUUAGAUGGACUUACCUUUUAUACGUCUGGACUCAUAAUCCAUUGGUCGAAGGUUCGAGUCCUUCCGGCCCACCA
Molecule: transfer RNA, 79 nt
Filed under: Arenicellales bacterium
Lineage: Bacteria; Pseudomonadati; Pseudomonadota; Gammaproteobacteria; Arenicellales
Description: tRNA-Ser
Source: RNAcentral